RNAcentral lists this ribosomal RNA (253 nucleotides) under uncultured bacterium. Its description in RNAcentral is "partial 16S ribosomal RNA". It matches the Rfam family "Bacterial small subunit ribosomal RNA", at positions 524 to 776 of the family's 1533-position model. The record is from RNAcentral.
UACGUAGGCAGCGAGCGUUGUUCGGAGUUACUGGGCGUAAAGGGUGUGUAGGCGGUUGUGUAAGUCGGGUGUGAAAUCUCGGAGCUUAACUCCGAAACUGCAUUCGAUACUGCCGUGCUUGAGGACUGGAGAGGAGACUGGAAUUUACGGUGUAGCGGUGAAAUGCGUAGAUAUCGUAAGGAAGACCAGUGGCGAAGGCGGGUCUCUGGACAGUUCCUGACGCUGAGGCACGAAGGUCAGGGGAGCAAACGGG